RNAcentral lists this long non-coding RNA (285 nucleotides) under Elaeis guineensis (African oil palm). Its description in RNAcentral is "long non-coding RNA (EGUI_LNC047825)". The record is from RNAcentral. Lineage: Eukaryota; Viridiplantae; Streptophyta; Magnoliopsida; Arecales; Arecaceae.
AUUGGAGGUAGAGGCUACCAAUUCAUAUAAAAUAGUGAGAGAAUCUUUAAACUAAAGUCCAAGUCUUUAGACUUAAAUAGUUCAUAUAUUAAUAGGUCAAUUAUUCUCUUUUCAAAAUAACUAGAAUAUUAUUGUUCUGUUCAUUGUUAGACAGUGAUAAUGUUAUCGGAUCUAACUUUGAUAGCCAGUAUCAGAAGUUGAAUAUAGUUUUUGAGCGAAUUGAUCAAGAAGUCUCAGGCUAACCAAAUAGGUUUAAAAGAGAAAUUAGCAAAUAGUUGCUGGUCA